Molecule: ribosomal RNA, 253 nt
Filed under: uncultured bacterium
Lineage: Bacteria
Description: partial 16S ribosomal RNA
Rfam family: Bacterial small subunit ribosomal RNA
Source: RNAcentral
GACGAACCGUGCGAACGUUGUUCGGAAUCACUGGGCUUAAAGGGCGCGUAGGCGGGAUGGCAAGUCGGAGGUGAAAGCCCCCAGCUUAACUGGGGAAGUGCCCUCGAUACUGCCGUUCUCGAGAGAGGUAGGGGCGUGUGGAACUUCCGGUGGAGCGGUGAAAUGCGUAGAUAUCGGAAGGAACGCCGGUGGCGAAAGCGAUGCGCUGGACCUUUUCUGACGCUGAGGCGCGAAAGCCAGGGGAGCGAACGGG